This 594-nucleotide ribosomal RNA is filed under the name Exserohilum rostratum. Its description in RNAcentral is "eukaryotic LSU rRNA". The stretch from base 200 to 353 matches the Rfam family "5.8S ribosomal RNA". Lineage: Eukaryota; Fungi; Ascomycota; Dothideomycetes; Pleosporales; Pleosporaceae. The record is from RNAcentral.
GAACCUGCGGAGGGAUCAUUACACAACAAAAAUAUGAGGGUGUGGUUUGCUGGCAACAGCGUCCGCCCCAAGUAUUUUUCACCCAUGUCUUUUGCGCACUUUUUGUUUCCUGGGCGAGUUCGCUCGCCACCAGGACCCAACCAUAAACCUUUUUUUAUGCAGUUGCAAUCAGCGUCAGUAUAAUAAUUCAAUUUAUUAAAACUUUCAACAACGGAUCUCUUGGUUCUGGCAUCGAUGAAGAACGCAGCGAAAUGCGAUACGUAGUGUGAAUUGCAGAAUUCAGUGAAUCAUCGAAUCUUUGAACGCACAUUGCGCCCUUUGGUAUUCCAAAGGGCAUGCCUGUUCGAGCGUCAUUUGUACCCUCAAGCUUUGCUUGGUGUUGGGCGUCUUUUUGUCUCUCCCCUUGUUGGGGGAGACUCGCCUUAAAACGAUUGGCAGCCGACCUACUGGUUUUCGGAGCGCAGCACAAAUUUGCGCCUUCCAAUCCACGGGGCGGCAUCCAGCAAGCCUUUGUUUUCUAUAACAAAUCCACAUUUUGACCUCGGAUCAGGUAGGGAUACCCGCUGAACUUAAGCAUAUCAAUAAGCGGAGGAA